AGGAGCUAAAUUGGGCCUGAGCAGCUGGAAGGCAGGAGAAGCAGCCUGGGAGAGGUAUCCAAGAAGGGAACUGCACAGGACGAGCAGCUGGAAGGCAGGAGAAGCAGCCUGGGAGAGGUAUCCAAGAAGGGAACUGCACAGGACGAGCAGCUGGAAGGCAGGAGAAGCAGCCUGGGAGAGGUAUCCAAGAAGGGAACUGCACAGGACGAGCAGCUGGAAGGCAGGAGAAGCAGCCUGGGAGAGGUAUCCAAGAAGGGAACUGCACAGGACGAGCAGCUGGAAGGCAGGAGAAGCAGCCUGGGAGAGUAUCCAAGAAGGGAACUGCACAGGACGAGCAGCUGGAAGGCAGGAGAAGCAGCCUGGGAGAGGUAUCCAAGAAGGGAACUGCACAGGACGAGCAGCUGGAAGGCAGGAGAAGCAGCCUGGGAGAGGUAUCCAAGAAGGGAACUGCACAGGACGAGCAGCUGGAAGGCAGGAGAAGCAGCCUGGGAGAGGUAUCCAAGAAGGGAACUGCACAGGACGAGCAGCUGGAAGGCAGGAGAAGCAGCCUGGGAGAGGUAUCCAAGAAGGGAACUGCACAGGACGAGCAGCUGGAAGGCAGGAGAAGCAGCCUGGGAGAGGUAUCCAAGAAGGGAACUGCACAGGACGAGCAGCUGGGAAGGCAGGAGAAGCAGCCUGGGAGAGGUAUCCAAGAAGGGAACUGCACAGGACGAGCAGCUGGAAGGCAGGAGAAGCAGCCUGGGAGAGGUAUCCAAGAAGGGAACUGCACAGGACGAGCAGCUGGAAGGCAGGAGAAGCAGCCUGGGAGAGGUAUCCAAGAAGGGAACUGCACAGGACGAGCAGCUGGAAGGCAGGAGAAGCAGCCUGGGAGAGGUAUCCAAGAAGGGAACUGCACAGGACGAGCAGCUGGAAGGCAGGAGAAGCAGCCUGGGAGAGGUAUCCAAGAAGGGAACUGCACAGGACGAGCAGCUGGAAGGCAGGAGAAGCAGCCUGGGAGAGAUGAGGAAACAGGCUCAGAGACAUGAAGAAACUAACCCAGGAGUGGGAGAUCCAGGACCUGAACUCCGGCCGUGGCCUAUCAGAUGCUUCUCAAAUUCCUCCCCUUGCCCACACCUCUGCAGAGCCUAAUGGAAUUGAAGUAUUGGCUGACUAUCUGGCAGGUGUGAGGAAACAGAAGGAUGAAGGGCUGGGCUAUAAGAACAUACAACAUUGAGAGCCCAGAAAACGGUGUUGUGUGGAACCCAACACUCAUCUUCAUUGUGUACUCGGAUGGUUCAGAGAAUAAAGCAUUCCAUCCAGCAGCAAGAACAGUUCAGGGUACUGUGGUGAACUCGGGUCUGGAGUGGCAGAGAAGGCCCUGGGGUCUGAGUGGACCCCAAGCUGACUGUGACUCAGCUGGCUGAAGAGGAGGAUGAUCCUAUAAGGCUA
This 1428-nucleotide long non-coding RNA is filed under the name Callithrix jacchus (white-tufted-ear marmoset). RNAcentral's name for it is "lncRNA (ENSCJAG00000076039.1)". Lineage: Eukaryota; Metazoa; Chordata; Mammalia; Primates; Cebidae. The record is from RNAcentral.